CUUUAACAUUCCAUUAAACCUCAGUCACUUGUGGGACUAUGUUUCAGGAUACAGUCUUCACCAGUUGUUCAAUCUUUUCUGGAGUCACAAUUGUUCUUCAUGGUCCUAAUUCCUGCUUCAUGGUCCCUGGAUGUGACAUCCCCAAUCCAUUUCUCUGAAUGCCUGAAUUCACUGGAAAUAUGUCUCUCACUCCCUUAGCUUCCUCGUGGAGAAGGCCAUAUGACAAGGAAUGGAAGAAGGCCUCUGACCAACAGCUAAAGAAGCAAUCAGAAGCAGAUGCAGAGAUGAAGUAUAUUUGCACAGAAUUUCCUGAAGUACUCUCAGGAGAGACUAAUUACAAGUCUGGAAGCAGCAGAAAAAUAUUGUAAAGAAGCUAUCAAAGGAACAAUUUCAGGUUCAGUGGUAGCCUCAGUCAGUCUUCUGGGGAGCUCUAGAAAAUAAAUUAUACUUUGAAAUGCAAA
This 461-nucleotide long non-coding RNA is filed under the name Heterocephalus glaber (naked mole-rat). RNAcentral describes it as "lncRNA (ENSHGLG00000033139.1)". The record is from RNAcentral. Lineage: Eukaryota; Metazoa; Chordata; Mammalia; Rodentia; Bathyergidae.